CUUGAUGAGUGAUGAGAGAGGCCAUCAAUCAAUGGUGAGCAGUGUGGUGUGAACCCUAAUAUAAUUGCGCCCAUACGUGCGUCCAAAACCUCCCCUGUUUCCCCCAUUUAUCCAUCUCCUCCUCCCCCCGCGUCUCCCUCGCAACCUCCAUUGACGCUCCUUCCUCUUCCUCCUCAUCUCUAACCGACCACCUUGAUCGAUCCACUCGCCUCUUCUUCCUCUCUUGAGCCGCUGCUGCGUGGCUGGCUAGGCAGAGGUGGCGUGCUAGAUGGUCGCCGAGGCGGUCGGGUUCAUGAUGUCCCGCGCGGCGGACGGCGGGGCCAUGGCGCCGGAGCUCGUCACCCGGGGCUUCCUCGGCGGCUGCCAGGCGCCCGCCGCCGACGACGACCCACGCUCUGUUUUCUCUCUUCGCGUGUUGGCUUUCGCUUCUUCCUCUUCCCUGCUCAAUUGGGAUUGGACCGGACCGUACGCACUCUAGUGGUUAAUUAAGACUUCCAAUUUGUCAGUCAAUGGCUCGAUUAGUCUCCUAGUGGAGUAAUAUCCAUCCGCGCCGAACUAGUUUGGUCAGCAAAUUUGACAGCGGAGCAGUAGUAAGUGGUUACCAUUUGUGGGCUUUGUCAUACAAGAGUGUGAGGUGAACUUUGAGCUUGAGGCUACGCGAUUCCCAUGUGCAGGAGCCUUUUCCGACUUGGUCUUUCUUUACCGUGGGAGGGAUAUGCAUGAAUUGUUGACCAAAAUAGACUACUCCUACUACGUAUUGUAAGCAUUUUUAUAUCUCGAGUAUCUGUCGUACAGUGAGUACUAGUAGUAGCAAUUGUUCUCUAUAGGUGGAGUAGAUUGUUCGUACGUAGUUAAUUCAUCUUCGUCUGUCUGCCAUGUUCCACCGGCAAGUUCAGAUCUUGCCCAAUAAUGUAGCCUCACUUAAAGUCUUCACGACAUGGCCAUUAAAAUCUCAACCAUGCAAGCAUUAAUCUUUUACUGACUGCGGUGAUUUCUUUGCGUGCCUGCCAAGGUUUCUAAUUUCGAAAACAAAAUAAUUUUGGAGCCUAUCGAAAUAUGCGAAAUUUCGGAAAUUUCGCUAUUUCGAAUUUUUCCUAUUUCAAAUUUAGCUUAAUUUUAUUAAAUUCUAAAAAACUUAAAUUCAUUUGAAAAACUGUUUGAAUCUGCAUCGAAAUUUUGGUGUUGAUAAUAUUUCAGCCCCCCACUAAAAUAUGCUAAAUUUCGGAAAUUUCACCGAAAUUUCGUUGAAAUUUUUAACCCUGCGUGCAGCCCGGCAACGGCAAGCCGCCCGUGCAGAAUCACCUGAGCCCACACCCGUUGGCCGGGGGGGGACCUCAAUCUCUUCCCCUCCUCCGACACCGCCUUGGCACCGUUGCCGACGAUGGCGCCGGCUGCGGACUGCGCCACCACGACCACGUACCACAGCGUGUGCACGAUCGAGAAGGUCAGGAUCGCGCUGGAACAGUUCGAGCGCGGCAAGCUGGGGCACCACCAGCAGCAACACGGCGGUGCAGGCGCGGGCGCCUCCCCGUCGUCAUCCGUCAAGCGCUGCAGCGAUGCCAGCGUCGUGGAGCAGGGCGACGGUUGCGACUCCCUGUCCGCCAGCGCCGGCGGCGGGGGCAUGGCACGGAAAAGUGAAUGGAACAAAAAAACUAAACAAAUCAGUGCACUGACAAUAAUCGACCCAAUAGUUACUAAGGUGUAAUUUUUCUUUUUUUGCCACCAUGAUAUCUCUAAGAAAAUGGUUUAUUCAAUGGCAAAGUGACUGUCUCCCGAAAAUAGAAAAAAAACGGAUUUGCUAUUUUAUAGUCGAGUGUUUUUCAAUUCGUUUUCACUCAAAUCUUUGUCCAUCCGUUCUCGCGCGGAGAUUCGCGCUAGCACAUCUGUUUUUCGGAUUGGUUUUCUUUGUCGGGCGCGGUUUUGUUUUUGUCCCAGCCCGUUACUGCCGCGCCGGCCCGGCACCGCCAGGUUUUCUUUGUCGGGCGCGGUGUAGUUUCCCCUUUUCAUCUGGGAGCAGAGAGCGAGAAGGAGGAACAGGCGCUCGUGGACGCGAUUUUGUCUGUUCAUGUCGAUUCCGAGUUUCCCCACCGCUCGAGCUUGAUUUCCCCUCCCUUUCUCUUCGAUCCACGGUUGCCGCGGUGCUUUGUGGUCCAGGAAAGGGAAAAGGAGCGUGGGCGACAGGUUCAAGAGGGUUUUGUGAUAGUUGCAUGGUUUUGUUUUGGUUAAGUUAGAACUGGGUCAGAUUUUUAGCUGCCCGAUCUAUUUUUUUAGAAAUGCAAACAUAAAAUUGUUGAUGGUAUUGGGAUAUACAGGUGUCAACAUUUAUUUAUGAUCUGCCCAUUACCAUCUCCCCCGUGUGUGUCGUUUCCUUUUCCUUUUCUUCCUUUUGACACUUUCCUCAUUUCAUUUGGGUGGUACGUACUAUUUCCAAAGGGCAGAGGGGCAGAGGAGGUGCUCGAGCGGCGGAGGAGUCGAGGCGAUUCCAUCGGGUUCCUGGCGUUUCCGAGAUCCCUCUCUACUGGAGCUUGUUUCCUCUUCGAUUCCCUGCCUUCCUGGUUAGUUCUUCUUGUCUCUCUAUCUUCUCGCGUGCGAUUUGCCAUGGUUGUGGUCGUGUAACUUCCAGAUCUAGGUCUGGGGAUUGUUUGUAGUAGUGUGUUUGUGGGUUUGUGUUCGAGAUUUUGUUGCUGUUUGAGUAUUUAGCGGUUGGUUCUGCUUCGUGGCUCGUGUAGUUUCAUGUGGAUCCCAUGUGCUCACGUCAGUUGUUAAUAUUUGUGGAUCCCGUGUGCUCGCGCUGCUAGGUUUUGGGUGUUCUCGUUUUGAUCCUCUCGUUGUAACCGCGGUUUGGUUACUCGUUUAUAAUUUUUUUCGAUUGAUGUGUUGGUCCUCUGGUAGGGUUAGAGUUUGUGUUUUUUCCCGAGAUAGGCGUGUCUCUGUGUUGAGUCUUCUUGCACAUCCCCUGCAGUUGCAGCUACCAUCUGGUAGGGUCAGGUUUUAGGUAGCAGUGCUAAUUUGGGGUUGUAAUUGUUUAGACCUAGGCGUGCACUAUAAUUGUCUAGCUUUGCUUUGUAAUUCAUGCCUUUUGACUGUAGUAGCUUUACUCUGUAAUUUUCCUCAGUUUUGCACUGUACUCUGCAAUAACCAUGGCAAUUAUAGUGUAGUCAUUCUGUACUUUUCAUUGUAAUUUCACCGAAAGUAGUCUGUAAGUAAGUACACUGUAAUUUCCCUCAAUGUACUCUGUAAUAUUCAUGGUAAUUACACUGUAAUUUCCCUCAAUGUACUCUGUAAUCCAUGGUAAUUACGCUGUAAUUUCCCUCAAUGUGCACUGUAAUAUCCAUGGCAAUUACACUCUAAUUUCCCUCUA
Molecule: long non-coding RNA, 3361 nt
Organism: Triticum aestivum (bread wheat)
Lineage: Eukaryota; Viridiplantae; Streptophyta; Magnoliopsida; Poales; Poaceae
Exons: 2
Source: RefSeq, a predicted model, not a curated record